UGCUUGGGAAUCUACCCAGUAGCGGGGGAUAACCUAGGGAAACUUAGGCUAAUACCGCAUACGACCUACGGGUGAAAGCAGGGGAUCGCAAGACCUUGCACUAUUGGAUGAGCCAAGUCGGAUUAGCUAGUUGGUGGGGUAACGGCCUACCAAGGCGACGAUCCGUAGCUGGUCUGAGAGGACGAUCAGCCACACUGGGACUGAGACACGGCCCAG
This 216-nucleotide ribosomal RNA is filed under the name uncultured bacterium. Its description in RNAcentral is "partial 16S ribosomal RNA". It matches the Rfam family "Bacterial small subunit ribosomal RNA", at positions 114 to 334 of the family's 1533-position model. The record is from RNAcentral.